Gopherus evgoodei (Goodes thornscrub tortoise) is the source of this 158-nucleotide long non-coding RNA. RefSeq lists it as uncharacterized. The transcript is spliced from 3 exons. The record is from RefSeq and is a predicted model, not a curated record. NCBI's taxonomy places the organism in Eukaryota, Metazoa, Chordata, Testudines, Testudinidae.
GCAUUCUUUAUUACUUCAUCACACAAAUGAGGGGAUAACUUCCAAGGUAGCCUGGAAGGGGUGGGGGAUGAGGGAAACAACGGGUGAGGUUGUUUCAGGGGCACGCCCUAGAAUGGCAUGCAGUUCAUCAUUUCUGCAGGAUCUGAAACACUGGUACU